This 613-nucleotide long non-coding RNA is filed under the name Phasianus colchicus (ring-necked pheasant). Its description in RNAcentral is "lncRNA (ENSPCLG00000019598.1)". The record is from RNAcentral. Lineage: Eukaryota; Metazoa; Chordata; Aves; Galliformes; Phasianidae.
CACACUAUGACUUUGUGACAUCAAACCUAUUGCUUGGUGAUAUCACCCUGGGGAAGCCUGUCUGGCCCCAACAAUACUCCAGUCAGCACCAGUACUGUGCAUGCCCACUAGGGCUACUGCAGUGUUAGAGUUUCCCAGCAGUCACCCUGGCCUGGCCUUGUCUUCCUAAAGUCCUUGUACUUCCCAUCUUCCUGUCCAACCUCUUCUCCAAGUGUCCAUGUUUAUGUUUUUCCCCAUCCAUCUCGUGCUGGCUGAGGCUGUUGCCUGAUUUGAUAUAUUGGAUACCAUGCAGACAUCAAGCCUGCAGCUUUGUCAUGAGGCUAGCAGCCAAAUGCAUGACUGAAAGGAUUUCUGGUUCCAGCCACUGGAUUUAUCUGAGCUACUGAGGUGUAUGAAGAUGACAAUAAUCAAUCAUAUCUAAUUAGAUGGUGACACACUGUGCUUGCAGUAAUUAAACAAGACAUUAUGCCUUUACUUUCUAAUGAUUAAGACUACAGAGAUUGAGACCCAGCUGUUAAUCGCUUUUCUUGCACAGCUAAUGUCAAAAACAGAAAAUCCCAACAAUCUGCUCCUAAGGUAAUUUUUAACAGAACUUUUCUUGUGGACAGUAUCU